RNAcentral lists this ribosomal RNA (497 nucleotides) under uncultured bacterium. RNAcentral's name for it is "partial 16S ribosomal RNA". It matches the Rfam family "Bacterial small subunit ribosomal RNA", at positions 28 to 507 of the family's 1533-position model. The record is from RNAcentral.
GAUGAACGCUGGCGGCGUGCCUAAUACAUGCAAGUCGAGCGAACAGACGAGGAGCUUGCUCCUCUGACGUUAGCGGCGGACGGGUGAGUAACACGUGGAUAACCUACCUAUAAGACUGGGAUAACUUCGGGAAACCGGAGCUAAUACCGGAUAAUAUAUUGAACCGCAUGGUUCAAUAGUGAAAGACGGUUUUGCUGUCACUUAUCGAUGGAUCCGCGCCGCAUUAGCUAGUUGGUAAGGUAACGGCUUACCAAGGCAACGAUGCGUAGCCGACCUGAGAGGGUGAUCGGCCACACUGGAACUGAGACACGGUCCAGACGCCUACGGGAGGCAGCAGUAGGGAAUCUUCCGCAAUGGGCGAAAGCCUGACGGAGCAACGCCGCGUGAGUGAUGAAGGUCUUCGGAUCGUAAAACUCUGUUAUUAGGGAAGAACAAAUGUGUAAGUAACUAUGCACGUCUUGACGGUACCUAAUCAGAAAGCCACGGCUAACUACGUG